AUUUAUUAAAGGGCUGCAGUAUUUUGACUGUACAAAGGUAGCAUAAUCAUUAGUCUCUUAAUUGGUGACUUGUAUGAAGGAUUGGAUGAAAUAUAAACUGUUUCUUAAUUAAAAAUUGAAUUUAAUUUUUUAGUUAAAAAGCUAAAAUAUUUUUAAAAGACGAGAAGACCCUAUAAAGUUUAAUAAAUUAUUUAUUUAAGAUUAUUUAUAUAAAUGAAUUGAUUUGAUUUAAAUAAAAAAAUUUAUUUUAUUGGGGUGAUAGAAAAAUAAAGUUAACUUUUUUUAUAUUUUUACAUUAAUAUAUGAAUAAAUGAUCCAUAAAUUAUGAUUAUAAGAUAAAAUUACUUUAGGGAUAACAGCGUAAUUUUUUUUUUUAGUACAUAUAAGAAAAAAAGUUUGCGACCUCGAUGUUGGAUUAAGAUAAAAUUUAAAUGCAAAAGUUUAAAAUUUUUGAUCUGUUCGAUCAUUAAAAUCUUACGUGAUCUGAGUUCA
RNAcentral lists this ribosomal RNA (492 nucleotides) under Striglininae sp. BAH_28362_D09. RNAcentral's name for it is "partial 16S ribosomal RNA". The stretch from base 352 to 492 matches the Rfam family "Bacterial large subunit ribosomal RNA", at positions 2473 to 2613 of the family's 2925-position model. Lineage: Eukaryota; Metazoa; Arthropoda; Insecta; Lepidoptera; Thyrididae. The record is from RNAcentral.